Molecule: unclassified non-coding RNA, 238 nt
Filed under: Glomus sp.
Lineage: Eukaryota; Fungi; Glomeromycota; Glomeromycetes; Glomerales; Glomeraceae
Description: partial contains 5.8S ribosomal RNA and internal transcribed spacer 2
Rfam family: 5.8S ribosomal RNA (bases 1-71)
Source: RNAcentral
GUGAAUCAUCGAAUUUUUGAACGCAAAUUGCACUCUCUGGUAUUCCGGAGAGUAUGCCUGUUUGAGGGUAAGUUUAAAUAAAAAUCGGUGAGGUUGCUGCCUUUCGUGGUGACGCACCGGCUUUGGGUUGUCUUGACUUCGGUUUAGUGACCUAAGAUUUUGCAUGAUUUUUUUCGAUAGUAUUUAAAUGAUUUUACGUACGUUUGAGAUGUCGAUUAAUUGGUGUGGCAUACCACAU